GAUGAAGAACGUAGCGAAAUGCGAUAAGUAGUGUGAAUUGCAGAAUUCAGUGAAUCAUCGAAUCUUUGAACGCACAUUGCGCCCCUUGGUAUUCCAUGGGGCAUGCCUGUUCGAGCGUCAUUUGUACCUUCAAGCUUUGCUUGGUGUUGGGUGUUUGUCCCGAGGGACUCGCCUUAAAGUAAUUGGCAGCCAGUGUUUGGUUUUGAAGCGCAGCACAAGUCGCGAUUCAAGGCUACACGCCCGCUUCCACAAGCCUUUUUUCACUUUUGACCUUGGAUCAGGUAGGGAUACCCGCUGAACUUAAGCAUAUCAAUAAGCGGAGGA
This 324-nucleotide unclassified non-coding RNA is filed under the name soil metagenome. RNAcentral's name for it is "partial contains 5.8S ribosomal RNA, internal transcribed spacer 2, and large subunit ribosomal RNA". The stretch from base 1 to 120 matches the Rfam family "5.8S ribosomal RNA", at positions 35 to 154 of the family's 154-position model. The record is from RNAcentral.